AAACCCUGUAAAACAAAAGACAUAAAUUCUUCAACGAAUUCUACUAUGGUAUCCAAUAUUACAAGGGAAAACGAACAGAAGACAACCCAAUAUCCCAGCUUGGUCGAUCUUGUUGUUGUAUCGCAUCCUUGCUCCACUCGGACAAGUUCUACGGCAAUCUUUUAUUACGAUGGUGCACGUAUUUCCUCGGAGCACAAACACGUAGACAACGCACGGUUCAUAGAAUUACCAAAUAAUGAGUAUUGUUUAUUUUUUCUAAGUGUUAUUUGAUUUAAAACAAAAUGUUUGAUCACAGAAAACGAUAGUUUGACUUUGCCUGCUCCCUAUAAUCCGUUUGUCGGUCCAAAAACAUCUAAAGAACUCAAUAUUAAUUCGACGUUUUUAACAAACGACACAAGUUUAGAAGCAGCUACCAAUAAUAAUACCUCAAAAUAUGAACACCAGAUAGUCGUCAAUAAUCCUACUGGCAAGUAUUAACAAGUGUCGCUCAAAUACGUUUUAUUUAUUUUUGUUUCUAUUUUCAGCACACAAAAAAAGACAAAUUUCUACUCCUCUUGCGUACAAGGAACUUGAGGACUUACACGUAAUGUUUGACGAGUUUUGUGUCUCAUUAACUGCUCAGAUUAAUGAAAAAAAAAAACGAUGAAAUCAAAGAAAAUUUCAAGGUGAUCAAUAACCGCCUGGACCAAAUUGACACCAAAAUGGAUAUCGUUUUAAAGAAUACAACACGUUCUAGAUUCAUAUCUGUCGCUGACGACAAUUUAGGCUUAAAAAACAAAGCGUUGCUAGGUCAAUAAAUGCUGACUAGCUAUGUUAUGCAACGAGCCAGCGAUGCGCGCUGGUUUAACGAUUAAAUGGAAAAAUAGGCUAAGAAGAAUAGAUUAAGAAGAAUAUGCUGAUCGACGACGGUCAGCAUUUUUAGAGUAUAAAAUCAAUUGAAUAAAUUAAUGAAGCCAUUACUUGCCAAGAACCAGUUGGUGCGUUCAUUAUUGUGCUUAAGUCGGCGUGUACUGUGCCUGUCUUAAGCUGCUGCUCCGAAAGAC
This is a long non-coding RNA of Anopheles gambiae (African malaria mosquito), 1043 nucleotides long. RefSeq lists it as uncharacterized. The transcript is spliced from 5 exons. Lineage: Eukaryota; Metazoa; Arthropoda; Insecta; Diptera; Culicidae. The record is from RefSeq and is a predicted model, not a curated record.